CCUGUUACCAUGUAAUCCAAGUUGAUCCGGGAAGAGGUUGGACUGGUGGAUCGUUUGAUCGGAUCUCUAGAGCUGCAGUGGCACUUAUGUCGAUCGGGUUCCCAAUAAAGUUCAGGUAUCGAUAUGGUGCUCCUGGCGACAGCCCGGGACCACCAGGUCGUCUAAGGAGGGGUGCACAGCCCAGGUUCGGAAACGGAGGCAGGCCAAGCCCCCGUGCCGCUCAGUAGUGGGACGAGCCUGUGGAAUAGAGCUGUAGUGAAAAGCUGAGUAUAAUACAGCGGGGACCCAGUCUUUU
Molecule: signal recognition particle RNA, 295 nt
Filed under: Neogobius melanostomus (round goby)
Lineage: Eukaryota; Metazoa; Chordata; Actinopteri; Gobiiformes; Gobiidae
Description: Metazoan signal recognition particle RNA (ENSNMLG00000003731.1)
Rfam family: Metazoan signal recognition particle RNA
About the family: The signal recognition particle (SRP) is a universally conserved ribonucleoprotein.
Source: RNAcentral